Molecule: transfer RNA, 69 nt
Filed under: Ictidomys tridecemlineatus (thirteen-lined ground squirrel)
Lineage: Eukaryota; Metazoa; Chordata; Mammalia; Rodentia; Sciuridae
Also listed under: 1 other name
Description: Spermophilus tridecemlineatus (thirteen-lined ground squirrel) tRNA
Rfam family: tRNA
About the family: Transfer RNA (tRNA) molecules are approximately 80 nucleotides in length. Their secondary structure includes four short double-helical elements and three loops (D, anti-codon, and T loops). Further hydrogen bonds mediate the characteristic L-shaped molecular structure. tRNAs have two regions of fundamental functional importance: the anti-codon, which is responsible for specific mRNA codon recognition, and the 3' end, to which the tRNAs corresponding amino acid is attached (by aminoacyl-tRNA synthetases). tRNAs cope with the degeneracy of the genetic code in two manners: having more than one tRNA (with a specific anti-codon) for a particular amino acid; and 'wobble' base-pairing, i.e. permitting non-standard base-pairing at the 3rd anti-codon position.
Source: Rfam by way of RNAcentral
GGGAUUGUGGCUCAGAGGUAGAGCAUUCGCCUAGCAUGUGCCAGGCCCUGAGUUCAAUCCUCAGCACCA